GACGAACGCUGGCGGCGUGCUUAACACAUGCAAGUCGAACGGAAAGGCCCUGCUUUUGUGGGGUGCUCGAGUGGCGAACGGGUGAGUAACACGUGAGUAACCUGCCCUUGACUUUGGGUUAACUUCAGGAAACUGGGGCUAUUACCGGUUAGGAGCUCCUGCUGCAUGGUGGGGGUUGGAAAGUUUCGGCGGUUGGGGAUGGACUCGCGGCUUAUCAGCUUGUUGGUGGGGUAGUGGCUUACCAAGGCUUUGACGGGUAGCCGGCCUGAGAGGGUGACCGGCCACAUUGGGACUGAGAUACGGCCCAGACUCCUACGGGAGGCAGCAGUGGGGAAUAUUGCACAAUGGGCGGAAGCCUGAUGCAGCAACGCCGCGUGCGGGAUGACGGCCUUCGGGUUGUAAACCGCUUUCGCCUGUGACGAAGCGUGAGUGACGGUAAUGGGUAAAGAAGCACCGGCUAACUACGUG
Molecule: ribosomal RNA, 468 nt
Filed under: uncultured bacterium
Lineage: Bacteria
Description: partial 16S ribosomal RNA
Rfam family: Bacterial small subunit ribosomal RNA
Source: RNAcentral